UUUGCAAGGCUGUAAGGUCAGCAGUGUU
RNAcentral lists this non-coding RNA (28 nucleotides) under Homo sapiens (human). Lineage: Eukaryota; Metazoa; Chordata; Mammalia; Primates; Hominidae. The record is from RNAcentral.